AAUAUAAAAAAGAAGAUGUGGUAUGAUUGCCAAUGAGACAACUAUCCACAAAAGACCAAAAUGACACAGACAUUAACAACUAUAGGUCACCGUACGGCCUUCAACAAUGAGCAAAGCCCAUACCGCAUAGUGAGCUAUAAAAGGCCUCGAUAAGACCAUGUAAAACAAUUCAAACGAGAAAACUAACGGCCUUAUUUAUGUAAAACAAUUAACGAAAAACAAAUAUGUAACACAUAAACAAACGACAACCACUGAAUUACAGGCUCCUGACUUGGGACAGGCACAUUCAUAAAUAAUGUGGCGGGGUUAAACAUGUUAGCGGGAUCCCAACCCUCCCCCUCACCUGGGACAGUGGUAUAACAGUACAACAUAAGAACGAACUAUAAAAAUCAGUUGAAAAAGGCUUAACUCAUCAGAUGGACAAAAAUACAAGUGGACGUAGCCCGGUACUUAUACAGCCCGACACAAAAAAAAAACAAUGAACAGAUCUGAGAGUACUCGCAGUUAUCUGACAGCUAGUUCAAA
This 525-nucleotide long non-coding RNA is filed under the name Mytilus galloprovincialis (Mediterranean mussel). Lineage: Eukaryota; Metazoa; Mollusca; Bivalvia; Mytilida; Mytilidae. The record is from RNAcentral.